UCCGUUAUCGUCCAGCGGUCAGGAUAUCUGGCUUUCACCCAGGAGACCCGGGUUCGAUUCCCGGUAACGGAA
Molecule: transfer RNA, 72 nt
Filed under: Capsicum annuum
Lineage: Eukaryota; Viridiplantae; Streptophyta; Magnoliopsida; Solanales; Solanaceae
Rfam family: tRNA
About the family: Transfer RNA (tRNA) molecules are approximately 80 nucleotides in length.
Source: Rfam by way of RNAcentral